RNAcentral lists this ribosomal RNA (973 nucleotides) under uncultured bacterium. Its description in RNAcentral is "bacterial SSU rRNA". It matches the Rfam family "Bacterial small subunit ribosomal RNA", at positions 521 to 1482 of the family's 1533-position model. The record is from RNAcentral.
UAAGACGGACCGUCCGAACGUUACUCGGAAUUACUGGGCUUAAAGGGUGCGUAGGCGGCUUUGCAAGUCGGGUGUGAAAGCCCUCGGCUCAACCGAGGAACUGCACUCGAUACUGCGAGGCUCGAGGAAGAUAGAGGUGAGCGGAACUUGCGGUGGAGCGGUGAAAUGCGUUGAUAUCGCAAGGAACACCGGAGGCGAAAGCGGCUCACUGGGUCUUUCCUGACGCUGAGGCACGAAAGCUAGGGGAGCGAACGGGAUUAGAUACCCCGGUAGUCCUAGCCCUAAACGAUGAGCACUAGACCGAGGAACUCUCCAUGGUUUCUUGGUCGUAGGGAAACCGUUAAGUGCUCCGCCUGGGGAGUAUGGUCGCAAGGCUGAAACUCAAAGGAAUUGACGGGGGCUCACACAAGCGGUGGAGGAUGUGGCUUAAUUCGAGGCUACGCGAAGAACCUUAUCCCGGUCUUGACAUGCACGGAUUAACCCCGUGAAAGCGGGGCCACGCCUCUCUGAGGUGGAACGUGUACAGGUGCUGCAUGGCUGUCGUCAGCUCGUGUCGCGAGAUGUCGGGUUAAGUCCCUUAACGAGCGAAACCCCUGUCGCUAGUUGCCAGCGGGUCAUGCCGGGCACUCUAGCGAGACUGCCGGUGUUAAACCGGAGGAAGGUGGGGAUGACGUCAAGUCCUCAUGGCCCUUAUGACCGGGGCUGCACACGUCCUACAAUGGCGCGUACAAAGGGAAGCAAACCCGCGAGGGGGAGCAAAUCCCAAAAAGCGCGCCCCAGUUCAGAUUGCAGGCUGCAACCCGCCUGCAUGAAGCCGGAAUCGCUAGUAAUCGCGGAUCAGCAUGCCGCGGUGAAUGUGUUCCUGAGCCUUGUACACACCGCCCGUCAAGCCACGAAAGUGGGGGACAUCCGAAGUCGCCGGGCUAACCCGAAAGGGAGGCAGGCGCCGAAGAUGGACUCCGCGAUUGGGACU